GGCAACUUGGCCGAGUGGUCUAAGGCGACGCACUCAAGGAAAUCCUUUACCCACUUCAGUGGAUAAGCAUUGCGUUCUCGCAAGAGGCGAGAGUUCGAAUCUCUCAGUUGUCA
Molecule: non-coding RNA, 113 nt
Organism: Podospora appendiculata
Lineage: Eukaryota; Fungi; Ascomycota; Sordariomycetes; Sordariales; Podosporaceae
Source: the annotation of a GenBank genome assembly